RNAcentral lists this ribosomal RNA (545 nucleotides) under Mus mayori mayori. RNAcentral describes it as "partial 16S ribosomal RNA". It matches the Rfam family "Bacterial large subunit ribosomal RNA", at positions 1844 to 2610 of the family's 2925-position model. The record is from RNAcentral. Lineage: Eukaryota; Metazoa; Chordata; Mammalia; Rodentia; Muridae.
UAUUAGAGGCAUUGCCUGCCCAGUGACUAAAGUUAAACGGCCGCGGUAUCCUGACCGUGCAAAGGUAGCAUAAUCACUUGUUCCUUAAUUAGGGACUAGCAUGAAUGGCCAAACGAGGGUUCAACUGUCUCUUAUUUUUAAUCAGUGAAAUUGACCUUUCAGUGAAGAGGCUGAAAUUGUAUAAUAAGACGAGAAGACCCUAUGGAGCUUGAAUAACUAAUUUAACUAUUAAAUUUACAAAUCUAAUGACUCAAAAACUAUAGUAUAAAUUAAAUAUUUUGGUUGGGGUGACCUCGGAGAAUAAAAAAUCCUCCGAAUGAUUGUAACAUAGACCAACAAGUCAAAGUAAUACUCAUUUAUCUAAUUGACCCAAAAAUCCUUGAUCAACGGACUAAGUUACCCUAGGGAUAACAGCGCAAUCCUAUUUGAGAGUUCAUAUCGACAAUUAGGGUUUACGACCUCGAUGUUGGAUCAGGACAUCCCAAUGGUGUAGAAGCUAUUAAUGGUUCGUUUGUUCAACGAUUAAAGUCCUACGUGAUCUGAGU